RNAcentral lists this ribosomal RNA (564 nucleotides) under Hypopetalia pestilens. RNAcentral's name for it is "SSU rRNA". It matches the Rfam family "Eukaryotic small subunit ribosomal RNA", at positions 614 to 1151 of the family's 1831-position model. Lineage: Eukaryota; Metazoa; Arthropoda; Insecta; Odonata; Austropetaliidae. The record is from RNAcentral.
UGCGGUUAAAAAGCUCGUAGUCGGAGGUGUGUCUCGGACGGUCGGUUCGCCGCUUGUCGGUGCUCAACUGGCCGGUCCGGACGUCCUGCCGGUGGGGCUGUAAAAGGCUCCGUUAUCCUUCUUUGGUCCUCUUCAUUGAGUGCCUUGGUGGGCCGGCACGUUUACUUUGAACAAAUUAGAGUGCUCAAAGCAGGCCGUUGGUCGCCUGAAUACUGUGUGCAUGGAAUAAUGGAAUAGGACCUCGGUUCCAUUUUGUUGGUUUUCAGAACUCGAGGUAAUGAUUAAUAGGGACGGACGGGGGCAUUCGUAUUGCGACGUUAGAGGUGAAAUUCUUGGAUCGUCGCAAGACGAACCGAUGCGAAAGCAUUUGCCAAGAACGUUUUCGUUGAUCAAGAACGAAAGUUAGAGGUUCGAAGGCGAUCAGAUACCGCCCUAGUUCUAACCAUAAACGAUGCCAGCUAGCCAUCCGCCGAAGUUCCUUAUAUGACUCGGCGGGCAGCUUCCGGGAAACCAAAGCUCUUGGGUUCCGGGGGAAGUAUGGUUGCAAAGCUCAAACUUAAAGGA